AUAAGAAUUAUGCUAAUGAACUAUUUUAAAUAGUCUAUAAACCUUAACUUAAUUUGUGUUUGAUUAUUUGGUAGAGUAUGAAGAGAGCUUUUGAUCAUUUCAACGUCUAAAAUGGGACCAACUCGAUCGAACUAAAAAUCUGCAAGAAAAGAUCCCACAAAUAAAUUCUAAACAGAAAGAAGAUUCAACAACAUUUGAAGCUUUGGCAAAAGAUAUCUUCGACAUGAUGACAGGGUAUAUUUGCAUCUCUUGAUCUUCAAUUCUGUGCAAGAAAAUUUAAACUUUACACCGAAAGAUUCCAUAGAAAUAUAGAAUCAUAUAAUAUGAUUCUACAAAAUCUACAAAUGUGGAUUCCACUGCAGGUGAACAGGGGAAACAUAUGACAAGAGGUUACUACAUGAAUUUGUAGUCAAAUUGAUGAACGUUGAACAGUGGUUGUGAAUGUAUUUUUGUUGGCAAACAUAGUAUCUACUGUACAGGCAUUCCAAAAUUAACAUCCUAAAAGGGACCCCACUUCAAAUACAGCUAGGGAAAAAUGUUGCAUUCUAUUUUUAUUAUUUAUGUAUAGCACAUGCUUCUGUUUUCUGACUUAUCAUCAAUAGGAUGGUUUUCAUUAGUAGUGUAUGCUGGUAGGUGAACAAUUUCAGCUGCCAUUAAUUGUUAAAGAAACCUACAUGGAUCCCACUAAUGCUAUUGUAAAUUUAUGAGUGCUAACCUCAUUUGAGUCAGGUGCUUAAUCUGAAA
This is a long non-coding RNA of Cucumis sativus (cucumber), 744 nucleotides long. RefSeq lists it as uncharacterized. The record is from RefSeq and is a predicted model, not a curated record. Lineage: Eukaryota; Viridiplantae; Streptophyta; Magnoliopsida; Cucurbitales; Cucurbitaceae. The transcript is spliced from 2 exons.